Larimichthys crocea (large yellow croaker) is the source of this 4067-nucleotide RNA transcript. It is a transcript of the gene named src kinase associated phosphoprotein 1, with no coding region annotated. The record is from RefSeq and is a predicted model, not a curated record. NCBI's taxonomy places the organism in Eukaryota, Metazoa, Chordata, Actinopteri, Sciaenidae. The transcript has 17 exons.
GCGGCUAACGGUUAAUUAGCAUGUUAGCGGCUAGCAGGUUAGCUCCACCCUCCACCUGUACCUGUACCUCCACCUGUGUCUCUGUUCGAGCAGUGACGCGGGGAUAACAAACACACAAAGCGGGGGGUCAGGCAGAAAAUAGAGCAGCGUAUCAGGAGCUGGCAGGGAUUCACUGUCUUGCUCAAGGACACUUCAGAUAUCCUUGAUGCUUGCCAACCUGGACAUGUGAGCCCCAGAUCAUUUGGUUGAAGGUAUGAUCCAGUGUCAUUGUAGGUCAAACAGAGGGGUUUUCUAAGCGUCACGCAAACCUUUCACCAGCCUCAAGUGAGAAACAAGAGUGCAGAGGAAGUUGUCAUCUGUGCACCUGCUCCACCCGCUUUGUGCAAAUCUAGAUGCAUGCACGGAAGUCACGCUUCAGAACAAGAGGACACAGUAUGCCAGAGGCUCGGUGUUCAUAGGCUACCUUGUGGAGUAAAAGCCAAAGUGUGAAGGGUCAGAAAAAGUCAGCAAACCAAAGUGUCUCGUGUUGGACAGGGAUGGGGACACUCCCGAGCGACGUUAAGAGGCUUUUGGAUGACUGUUUGUACUUUGUGUCCGACGUCCUUCAGGACGAGGACCUCAGUGAAACUGCCCAGGAGACACGGCAAGUCAUCCUGAAUAACUUCAGGGUCGUCCACUUAAGAAACCCUCAAGAGUUCCCCCCUCCAUCGGACUACAGGGAAGAAGAAGGUUCUGAUGACAACCGCAGUUCCAGCCUGGGUCGCUCUGUCCAAUCAGACGACGCCUCAUUAGCUUCUGACAACCAGGAUGAUGGAGCCCCCGAGUAUUUUGGUGACAUCCCCCCGGUGGCAGCUCAGGAAAUCAUCAACACCUUGAAGCAAGGCUACCUGGAGAAGAAACGAAGAGAUCACAGCUUCUUCGGCUCUGAGUGGCAAAAGCGAUGGUGUGUUCUGAACAAUCAAAUAUUCUACUACUUUGGGAGUGAGAAAGACAAACAGCAGAAGGGCUCCUUUUAUAUCAACGAGUACAACGUACAGCUGGUGCCCAACCUGAGAAAAGACUCCAAAAGAAAUGCCUGUUUCGAGUUCUUCGCCUCCGGACGCCGCUCGUUCCAGUUCACUGCCAGCAGUCCUCAGGAGGCCAGAGAAUGGGUGGAACAAAUCAAUAUUGUACUUAGAGAUAUCAGGUCCACCGUCAUCCCCGUCGACGACGAAGAGGAGGAGGAAGAGGAGACCUAUGAUGACAUUGAGGGGAUGACUGGCCCUCCCCCGCCUCGGCCUGGCGCUGCCCGGCCCGCCGAGAGCAGCAAAUGGAGAGGAGGGCAUGAGCCGGGGGAGGUCGACGACGAGGACGAGGACAUCUAUGAGGUGUUGCCAGAGGAGGAUUUUGCAGAUCCGAUGGACGAGAGCGGUGAGAGGAACGCCAAAUCAGCUUGGUCAUCAGAUUACGCUAACUACUACCAGGGUCUGUGGGACUGCCAGGCCGACGAGCCGGACGAGCUGGACUUCCAGAGAGGAGAUCUCAUCUACAUCAUUAGCAAGGCACUCAUGGAGAACGUCGGGAUGGAGUGGGAAGAGAUUUAUGGCGCAGAGCCAUCCGGGGUCCUUAAAACUCUGGCAAGCGCUGCUGCUGCUGCCGCCGCCGCCACCUCUUCCUCUUUUUUUCUCCAUCGCCCUGCUCACCUCUCCUCCUCCAUCCGCCGUCCAACCAAAACCCAGAGAGAGGAGAGCCGGGGCCAGCCAAUCCGGGCGCGUCUCCCAAAGCUGAGCGUCACAUCACAUUUGGCCAAAGCGUUCGGCUGCAGCUGCGUGCCAGAGACAACGAGAACGUGGACACCACUGACACCUUGUGGCGGCUUCGAGCGGAGUCGGAUUUAUUUAAUGACAACUUCUACAAACACCCAGAGCUGAUUUACGUCCUCGUAGAUUUACUCGUGUAAAUGCCAGUUCUGAUUUCAGAAAUCGCAACGGCUCAUUUUGUGAUUUAACGGCCGCUCGCGCUCCAGCCGGGCUACCUGUCUUUCUUUAGCUUCUUCUGUGUUUAACAAGCCGCUUUGGCCCGCUGCCCACAGGUCACACCGACUGAAUACAGCUGAAGAAAAGGAAAAGAGGGCAAACAAUCAGAUGGGAAAAGUCAAGCAAGAGAGACAAAGAGAGUGGAUCCCUUUAUUCCUUUGUGUGAACCCUGUCCCCCCUUCUCCUUUCUCCUUUUCUCUGUCACACACACCCAUUUAAAGACCCCUAGCUGCUAUUGUGGCCAUAGACACCAAGACGCUAUAGACAGGCAAAGACAUCCUAUUUACCACCCAAAGCUAGCAGGGGGUGAGUCUGGGGUUUGGGGUCAUGCAGGAGGCAGCGGUCAUCCCCCGGUCAACUACAGUAGGUCAUUAUUCAGCCCAAGCCAAUAGCCCAGAACCGCGUCCGAGCAACCCACCCCCAAUCCAUUCUGCUUAAUUAUUAUAAAUGAGGGGCGGCGUAAACAGCCAUCAUUACAGACACUCAGUGGCAUACACAAAUCCACUUUAAAUUGCUAUUAAGUUAAGGAGCUAUCUGUAAUCCCAGGCGUGCAUUAGAAAGGAGCGAGUAGGUUUUCUUUUUAUUAAAUCUCAUCGUCCCUGAGAUAUUUUCAAACGUUCUCAUGCUCUGUCAUGUUUCCAAUUUGAAGCCAAUUCACUGAUUUAAUUAAAAGCCCACUUGGAAAAAAUGGACACUAAGUAGCCAUUUCGAUCUCUGCUUGUGCAGAAUUAUCGUCCAUAUUUUCUGGAUGGAUUUCGACAAGAUUUCUUUUGGCACCGGAUCCUUCGUAACACGCCCCCCCCCAAAAAAAAAAAAGCCUCGCUCACACUUUCAGGUAUCAUGAGGUCAUUCGUGAGCAGCGAGGAGAGCUCGCUAACCUGAUAACGGGUUACAGAUCAUGGUGGAGGUGUCCAUGUUUCUUUGUUAGAGUGACCAGUGAUGGAAGAACUGCAGAGAAGAGCUGCUGCGGUGUAUCUGACGAGUCUACGUGGAGGGGGGGUGAAACACAGAGAGGAUGCAGGCUGCUUCAGGAGAGAUGGAAAGAGAGAGGAAAAGGAGGAAAGGAAGGAGGGAGGGGGUAGGAGAUGGGAAAGGAGGGAGGGAGGGAGAUUGUAACACCCAGGCGGCGGGUUCAGCGGCAGGGCAAUGAGAGACUUCCUGCGCUCCAUCACGCCCAAGGCCUGCCUCAGUCAGCUGGUGGCCGAGGAAAGAUGCCUCAUGUGUCAGGCUUAUUAGCACUCCCCCUAGUUUGUAUGCAUUUGGGAUUGUGUGCGAGUGUGUGUUUCAUCUGGGAGCAUGUGUGUGUGUGUGUGUGAUGAGGAGUUCAACAUGAAAUCAGUGUGUUAGGCAGAUUAAAGCUGCGUUCUGUUUGUAGGUACGCCAUGGCGGCUGGUGGAUUAUAGGUGACGAGGCGACACCUGCCUCCACCACGUUGUCUUUUUUAUCCGACAUCCAACCAACCUCGACUCACCUUCUCCUCGCUUCAGGCUCGGGGUAGCUGUCAAUCCGUCCUCCGGUCGAGGAACGUGAGCGAUGGGGCCCAUCAGAAUGCCACCAUUAGCCAGCCCCCUGAGUGGAGUACAACAUUCACGGCUGGUGGGUCGGCGAGCUGAACGGCACCGUGGGUAUCGUCCCCAAGGACUUCCUGCACCCGGCCUACAUCCUGUGAGCUCCAACAGUGCUGCUGCUGCUGCCGACACAUCCGGCCGUGAGUUUCACAGACGGGGCCCGGUCAGAUAAUCCUUUGCUGAUUAUUCUGUAAAUUAUAUCAUGUAGAUCUGCUGCAGCUGUACUUAUACUUAAAAACCUCCAGUAAAGAUCCCACAGACAACAUCGACACGCGGCAAACCAGAGCUGAAGCAGUCGAUUAACAGACUUUGAUUUUACAUUAAUCGUUUGAGUCGAUUCCUAAACGAAGAAAAUAUUUGUUUUCAUAUCGGUCUGAGGACAGAGGGUGUCACUCCCUGUACAGACAAAUGUACUGUGCGACUUUGGGCUAUACAAAUAAAAUCUGAUCUGAUUAUAAGGUGAAUUAAAUAUUAUCUUUUGUAA